This 762-nucleotide non-coding RNA is filed under the name Henosepilachna vigintioctomaculata. Lineage: Eukaryota; Metazoa; Arthropoda; Insecta; Coleoptera; Coccinellidae. The record is from RNAcentral.
UGUCUUUUUGGGUGUAAAAGAUUUUAAAUUUAAUUUUGGUUAGUUAUUUAUAUAAAUAUUUAUUAUAUAUAUGAAAAUUAAUAAAUUGUAAUUUUAUAGUAUAAAAUUUUAAUUAUUUAAGUUAUUAAGAUUUAGUAAAAUAUAUUAGUAUUAACAAAAUUUGUGCCAGCAGUUGCGGUUAUACAAUUAAUGCAAUAUAAAUUUUUUGGUUUUAAUUAAUUUUUAUGUUUUUAAAAAAAGUUUUAUAUUUUAAGUGAAAUUUAAUUUAUUAAUAUUUUAUUUUUUUAUUAAAUGAAGUUAAAAAAUUAUUUUAAUAAACUAGGAUUAGAUACCCUAUUAUUUUUAACGUAAGUUUUAAACCAAAUGAUUAAUAGUUAAGUUCUUUAAAGUUAAAAAAUUUGGCGGUAUUUUAGUCUUUUCAGAGGAACCUGUUCUAUAAUUGAUAGUCCACGUUUUAAUUUACUUUAAUUAGAAAUUUAUAUAUCGUUGUUAAUGAAAAUUUUAAAAGAAUAAUUUUCUAAUUUUUUUUAAAAAUUUAAAUCAGAUCAAGGUGUAGUUUAUAUUAAAGCAGAAAUGGGUUACAGUAAAGUUAUUUUUGGAUAAAUAAUUUAAAAUUUUUUAGAAAUUGGAUUUGAAAGUAAUUAUAUUAAAUUUAAUUUAAUGAUUAAGCUCUAAAAUAUGUACAUAUCGCCCGUCGCUUUCGUUUUAAAAUGAAAUAAGUCGUAACAAAGUAGAUUUACUGGAAAGUGAAUCUAGAAGAAC